Molecule: small RNA, 963 nt
Filed under: Plasmodium reichenowi
Lineage: Eukaryota; Apicomplexa; Aconoidasida; Haemosporida; Plasmodiidae
Source: RNAcentral
UUUUUUAUAUUGUGUAACUGCCAUGUUUUUAUUUUAUAUUUUAUUUAUAUAUAAUAUAUAUAAGUGAUAAAAAUAAUACACAUUAACUUUUCACAAAGAAUUUUUAUAUGUUAAAAUAUUACAAAUGGAUAUAAUAACAAAAUUGUUGUUACAUAUUUUAUUCAUCUAGAAAAUAUUUAAAUAAGAUAUUUGUUAACACGAAAAAAAAAAAAAAAAUAAUAAUAAUAAUAAAUAAAAUACAUAUAUAUAUAUAUAUAUAUAUAUUUAACAAUUUAGAGGGGUAAAAUAUGUCAGUUUUAUGUCACACCUUAUUUAGUUUUUUUAAGGACCUUAGGAGUUUAUACAAACCAUAUACAGCAUUUUCUUUCUUUUUCUUCCCAUGUGCUAUAAAUAUGUAUGGAAUUAUAAAAUUUAAUAAUUCAGAUUACCAUAUAAAUAAAAGCGUAACAGAUGCCAAUGCAUAUAUGAAAAGGACUGCCCAAGAAAAAUAAUACAAUGAAAUAAGAUAGAAAUUGAACAAUAUCUUUUAAAUGGAAAUGAGGAAGGAAGAAAGAAAAAAAGAAAAAAAGAAAAUCGUAUAAUAUUCCCUAAAGAAAUAAAAUAUUAUAUUAUAUAUAUAUAUAUAUAUAUAUAUAGUUGAAUGGUUUAAUAAUAUAGAACAAAUUGAAUAUUUUUUUUUAAGAAUGUGUAAAAAAGUAUAAAUGAUAAACGUAUAUUCGUUUUAAUUUAAAAAACCAAAAAAAACCAAAAAAUAAUAAUGAAUAGGAAUAACUGCAAUGUUGUAUAACAUAUUGUAAAUGUUUUAUUUUUAAACAUCAAAAUGUUUUUUUCAUUAAUUUUUUUUGAUAUUUUUUUUUUUUUUCUCCAUUUGAUAUAUAUCUAUUUUUUUGUUUUAGAAAAACUUUUUCAAACAUAACUAUAAAACAAAAUACUUAUGUAAAUAUUUAUGUUUAAUAUGAGAAA